RNAcentral lists this ribosomal RNA (863 nucleotides) under uncultured bacterium. RNAcentral's name for it is "bacterial SSU rRNA". It matches the Rfam family "Bacterial small subunit ribosomal RNA", at positions 60 to 914 of the family's 1533-position model. The record is from RNAcentral.
AGUCGGACGGUAGCACAGAGAGCUUGCUCUCGGGUGACGAGUGGCGGACGGGUGAGUAAUGUCUGGGGAUCUGCCCGAUAGAGGGGGAUAACCACUGGAAACGGUGGCUAAUACCGCAUAACGUCGCAAGACCAAAGAGGGGGACCUUCGGGCCUCUCACUAUCGGAUGAACCCAGAUGGGAUUAGCUAGUAGGCGGGGUAAUGGCCCACCUAGGCGACGAUCCCUAGCUGGUCUGAGAGGAUGACCAGCCACACUGGAACUGAGACACGGUCCAGACUCCUACGGGAGGCAGCAGUGGGGAAUAUUGCACAAUGGGCGCAAGCCUGAUGCAGCCAUGCCGCGUGUAUGAAGAAGGCCUUCGGGUUGUAAAGUACUUUCAGCGGGGAGGAAGGCGAUGGGGUUAAUAACCUUAUCGAUUGACGUUACCCGCAGAAGAAGCACCGGCUAACUCCGUGCCAGCAGCCGCGGUAAUACGGAGGGUGCAAGCGUUAAUCGGAAUUACUGGGCGUAAAGCGCACGCAGGCGGUCUGUUAAGUCAGGUGUGAAAUCCCCGGGCUUAACCUGGGAACUGCAUUUGAAACUGGCAGGCUUGAGUCUUGUAGAGGGGGGUAGAAUUCCAGGUGUAGCGGUGAAAUGCGUAGAGAUCUGGAGGAAUACCGGUGGCGAAGGCGGCCCCCUGGACAAAGACUGACGCUCAGGUGCGAAAGCGUGGUGAGCAAACAGGAUUAGAUACCCUGGUAGUCCACGCCGUAAACGAUGUCGACUUGGAGGUUGUUCCCUUGAGGAGUGGCUUCCGGAGCUAACGCGUUAAGUCGACCGCCUGGGGAGUACGGCCGCAAGGUUAAAACUCAAAUGAAUUGAC